UACGUAUGGGGCAAGCGUUAUCCGGAUUUACUGGGUGUAAAGGGAGCGCAGGCGGCCUGGCAAGCCUGAUGUGAAAUACCGGGGCCCAACCCCGGGGCUGCAUUGGAAACUGCCAGGCUGGAGUGCCGGAGAGGCAGGCGGAAUUCCUAGUGUAGCGGUGAAAUGCGUAGAUAUUAGGAGGAACACCAGUGGCGAAGGCGGCCUGCUGGACGGUGACUGACGCUGAGGCUCGAAAGCGUGGGGAGCAAACAGG
RNAcentral lists this ribosomal RNA (253 nucleotides) under uncultured bacterium. RNAcentral describes it as "partial 16S ribosomal RNA". It matches the Rfam family "Bacterial small subunit ribosomal RNA", at positions 524 to 776 of the family's 1533-position model. The record is from RNAcentral.